GAUUUUGAAGUGGAGCUCCCAUCAAACCAAUGAAGGGUUGUUUCGAUGGGUGGUACAGCUGCUUGUUCACGGUUCCCACUAUCCUAUUUCAUCAGCGAGCGAGAGCGAUUGUGAGAUGUAAUUGGUUUGAGAUAGGCUUGUGGUUUGCAUGACCAAGGAGCUGCAUCAUCCCCUUGCUGACCGCUCUUUGGUUUGAAGGGAGCUCUACAUCUUGAUCCC
Molecule: microRNA precursor, 219 nt
Organism: Dichanthelium oligosanthes
Lineage: Eukaryota; Viridiplantae; Streptophyta; Magnoliopsida; Poales; Poaceae
Rfam family: MIR159 microRNA precursor family
Source: Rfam